UACGAAGGGAGCUAGCGUUGUUCGGAAUUACUGGGCGUAAAGCGCACGUAGGCGGACUGUUAAGUCAGGGGUGAAAUCCCGGGGCUCAACCUCGGAAUUGCCUCUGAUACUGGCAGUCUCGAGUUCGGGAGAGGUUGGUGGAAUUCCUAGUGUAGAGGUGAAAUUCGUAGAUAUUAGGAAGAACACCAGUGGCGAAGGCGGCCAACUGGCCCGAUACUGACGCUGAGGUGCGAAAGCGUGGGGAGCAAACAGG
Molecule: ribosomal RNA, 253 nt
Filed under: uncultured bacterium
Lineage: Bacteria
Description: partial 16S ribosomal RNA
Rfam family: Bacterial small subunit ribosomal RNA
Source: RNAcentral